RNAcentral lists this ribosomal RNA (470 nucleotides) under uncultured eukaryote. Its description in RNAcentral is "partial 18S ribosomal RNA". It matches the Rfam family "Eukaryotic small subunit ribosomal RNA", at positions 1348 to 1687 of the family's 1831-position model. The record is from RNAcentral.
CUAUUAAAUAUGUUUUUUAAAAAUUUCUUAAGCUUAAUGUGGUGAAAUUUUAAAAGAUUUAAAAUUUCUGUUAAAUGUAAUAGUUUAAUGGAAAGGUUAAAUUUUUUUAAUAAGAUCCAUUUAAGAAUUUUGUUCAAAAAAACUUCUUAGAGGGACUAUCAAUGUUUUAAUUGAUGGAAGUUUGGAGGCAAUAACAGGUCUGUGAUGCCCUUAGAUGUUCUGGGCCGCACGCGUGCUACACUGACUAGUUCAAAAAGUUUGUCAUUGGAAAAAUUCAAGUAAUUGAAAUUUUUUCAAUUUCCUUGGCCGGAAGGUCUGGGUAAUCUUAUGAAAUCUAGUCGUGCUGGGGAUAGAUCUUUGCAAUUGUAGAUACUUUAACGUAGGAAGUUCCUAGUAUGGUCGUGUCAUCGAGCGCGACCCGACCUGCGUCCCUCGCCCUUUCGUUACACACCGCCCGUCGCCUCCUACCG